RNAcentral lists this ribosomal RNA (311 nucleotides) under Blastocystis sp. Its description in RNAcentral is "SSU rRNA". It matches the Rfam family "Eukaryotic small subunit ribosomal RNA", at positions 73 to 400 of the family's 1831-position model. Lineage: Eukaryota; Bigyra; Opalinata; Blastocystidae. The record is from RNAcentral.
AAUUGACUUUGAAACUGCGAAUGGCUCAUUAUAUCAGUUAUAGUUUAUUUGGUGAAGGAUACUAAUUGGAUAACCGUAGUAAUUCUAGGGCUAAUACAUGAGUAAAGUCCCAUUGGGAUGUGUUUAUUAGAAUGAAAACCAUAUGCUUCGGCAUGAUAGUGAGUAAUAGUAACCUAUCGUAUCGCAUGCUUAAAGUAGCGAUGAGUCUUUCAAGUUUCUGCCCUAUCAGCUUUCGAUGGUAGCAUAUGGGUCUACCAUGGCAGUAACGGGUAACGAAGAAUUUGGGUUCGAUUUCGGAGAGGGAGCCUGAG